UGACUUGUGGCAGCCAAGCGUUCAUGGGGGAGUUGAUUUUUUGAUCCUUCGAUGUCGGCUCUUCCUAUCAUAUUGAAGCAGAUUUCAUUAAGCGUUGGAUUGUUCACCCACUAAUAGGGAACGUGAGCUGGGCUUAGACCGUCGUGAGACAGGUU
This 155-nucleotide non-coding RNA is filed under the name Linnemannia elongata AG-77. RNAcentral's name for it is "Mortierella elongata AG-77 Eukaryotic large subunit ribosomal RNA". It matches the Rfam family "Eukaryotic large subunit ribosomal RNA", at positions 2831 to 2984 of the family's 3401-position model. Lineage: Eukaryota; Fungi; Mortierellomycota; Mortierellomycetes; Mortierellales; Mortierellaceae. The record is from Rfam by way of RNAcentral.